CAGUCGCCGCGGUAAUACAGAGGAUGCAAGCGUUAUCCGGAAUGAUUGGGCGUAAAGCGUCUGUAGGUGGCUUUUCAAGUCCGCCGUCAAAUCCCAGGGCUCAACCCUGGACAGGCGGUGGAAACUACCAAGCUGGAGUAUGGUAGGGGCAGAGGGAAUUUCCGGUGGAGCGGUGAAAUGCGUUGAGAUCGGAAAAAACACCAACGACGAAAGCACUCUGCUGGGCCGACACUGACACUUAGAGACGAAAGCUAGGGGAGCAAAUGGGAUUAGAUACCCGCGUAGUCCCUGUCUCUUAUAC
Molecule: ribosomal RNA, 301 nt
Filed under: uncultured bacterium
Lineage: Bacteria
Description: partial 16S ribosomal RNA
Rfam family: Bacterial small subunit ribosomal RNA
Source: RNAcentral